AUUUUGGCAUUUACGUUUGACAGAUUUUCACCACCUGCUUGCAGCAAAUGCGCCUUUUUGGCAAGGAAAUGAGUUUCAGAGAGGAGAGAAGAGAAGAGAGAAGCAAGGGGUCCAAAGAGCUCCUUUAUCACUUGCUCAUGAUAUUGAUUGUCCUAUCAGCUGACAUUGCUCUGAGGGAGCUCACGAGACGUGGAACAGAGUGAUAAAUUGAGCCUCGGAGGCCUCUUCUGAUAGAUUAGAUCUGCAGCCCAGAGGCGCGAGUAGACAUCUGAUUUAUUUACAAAUACACCAAGGAAGUCGAACUGGUCUGGAAAUAGUCUGUGCAGUCUUUAUUUAUCGUGUCAUUUUUGGGGCAUCAUUGGAGAACCUCCCAAAUCGUUUUUCGGGACAAUUAAAAAAUGGUUUCUACCGGCAGUUGUUGUAGCACUGUAUCACCACAGGGUGCCGCUCCUUGAUCAUGUUUUUUUUCCAUGUUGAAGCUAACUUGUUAGUCAAAUGUUUCAUGCUCAGGAAACAUUGGUUAAACAGUCUACAGGCGUGUGUGCAUUUUUUAUGUACAGUUUUAUCGUCAUUUAUACUGUCAUUUGGUGACUAUGACUUGACACAUGUUGUGUUCCUGUCCUCUCCUUUAAGGGGUCCUCGAAAAAUCUGCAUUUUGAAAGUCUGAAGUAGUUUGGUAAAAGUACAAAAAUAUACAGGUAUGUAUAUUUAUAUGUCUUCCCCAAGUAGAAGCGGUUGGAGGAAAAGCCCAGCGGUUCCAAGGAUACACACUAGGACAAAAACCCACAGGAAGAUGCGGUCGAUUACCAUAGCAACGUAUUUCCAAUCAUCCUGAACCUGGGAGAGGAUGACAAAACAAUGAAAGAUACAAACUAUGCAGCAGAAGGAAGGAACAGGUGGAAACGAAAAGGAGGUAAAAAGUGGUUUUCAUCUUCCUGGCGAGUGAUGGAUCCAGAGGAGCGGGAGAAAGUGGAGUGAAAGCGCGUCUGUGGAUGCCAAGAGGGAAGGAGAGCAAGUGCAGGGAGGGAGGCAGGCUGAGCCAGCCUCUGACGGGAUGCUGAUCGCCACGGCAACCUAUGGCAGGCUCUGCAAUUAACCCAUCACAUCAGUGAACGGACCAUUCGAGGACUUCCACCACUAGGGGGAGCGAUUAGGGCAGUUCAACGGCUUGCUUGAUGGCUCCUGUCAAAGGAGUAGUACUUCUCAGUCACCCCUAGCCAAGAUCCAUAUGCCACGGUGGCUUUUUCAGAGUGUCAGGUGUUGAUUUAUAUGGAGACAAUUACAGCUACCUGGAAAAUAAUGGUUUUCCUGUGGGAAUAUGUCACGCAUUUCAAGACCACGCACCAAGCAACUAAUUGAGCUCUGGUGUUGAUUAGAGCGGAGGCCACUCGUUGCGGAAAUAUGCAAGAAAAAGUGCACAACUGAAGAAAAAGUACUGACCACACUCAUAACAUCAACUUCUUUUAAAGGGAAAAAUCGAUGUGCCUAUUUGAAGUCAGGUGUUUAUUUGUUCAAUUAAGCGGACGAGUCACCAGGCUAAAUAAUUGUUGUUGUUUUAAGCAAUUCCAGACCAUCUUUAAGGAGCAAGCAUUUACAGUAUUUGUUUACAUGGACGACCAGCCCCUACCACCUAGCAAUUAAUCGAGCCAGAGACGCCCCUACCUACACGCAGAGCACGCGGUGUGCGUAGGGUUCAACAAAUGGGGGGCCCCAUUUUGUGCAACUGUGUGCGAAUGCUCUAAGGAUGUACAUCACUGCCGUGAGGCAUAGAGCGCCACAAGACACG
Dunckerocampus dactyliophorus (ringed pipefish) is the source of this 1786-nucleotide long non-coding RNA. RefSeq lists it as uncharacterized. Lineage: Eukaryota; Metazoa; Chordata; Actinopteri; Syngnathiformes; Syngnathidae. The record is from RefSeq and is a predicted model, not a curated record. The transcript has 3 exons.